RNAcentral lists this ribosomal RNA (253 nucleotides) under uncultured bacterium. RNAcentral describes it as "partial 16S ribosomal RNA". It matches the Rfam family "Bacterial small subunit ribosomal RNA", at positions 524 to 776 of the family's 1533-position model. The record is from RNAcentral.
UACAGAGGGUGCGAGCGUUGUUCGGAAUUACUGGGCGUAAAGGGCUCGUAGGCGGCCAACUAAGUCAUACGUGAAAUCCCUCGGCUUAACCGGGGAACUGCGUCUGAUACUGGAUGGCUUGAGAUUGGGAGAGGGAUGCGGAAUUCCAGGUGUAGCGGUGAAAUGCGUAGAUAUCUGGAGGAACACCGGUGGCGAAGGCGGCAUCCUGGACCAACACUGACGCUGAGGAGCGAAAGCCAGGGGAGCAAACGGG